UACGAAGGGGGCUAGCGUUGCUCGGAAUUACUGGGCGUAAAGGGCGCGUAGGCGGAUGUUUAAGUCGGGGGUGAAAGCCCAGGGCUCAACCCUGGAAUUGCCUUCGAUACUGGACAUCUUGAGUGCGGGAGAGGUGAGUGGAACUCCGAGUGUAGAGGUGAAAUUCGUAGAUAUUCGGAAGAACACCAGUGGCGAAGGCGACUCACUGGCCCGUUACUGACGCUGAUGCGCGAAAGCGUGGGGAGCAAACAGGG
RNAcentral lists this ribosomal RNA (254 nucleotides) under uncultured bacterium. Its description in RNAcentral is "partial 16S ribosomal RNA". It matches the Rfam family "Bacterial small subunit ribosomal RNA", at positions 524 to 777 of the family's 1533-position model. The record is from RNAcentral.